This 437-nucleotide long non-coding RNA is filed under the name Nicotiana benthamiana. RNAcentral describes it as "long non-coding RNA (NBEN_LNC041733)". The record is from RNAcentral. Lineage: Eukaryota; Viridiplantae; Streptophyta; Magnoliopsida; Solanales; Solanaceae.
CCUAUGCCUAUUAAAAUUUGAAAGGGUAAGGAAAACGACAAGCGCUCAUGUCUUAUAAGUUGUUCGUAUAUGACUCAUGCUCUGAUAAAUUGAAGAUGAUGCUCCAACGUCAUUUUUCUUGACUUAUAUAUAGCUGUAAUAGCAAUAAUUGGAUUUCCUCCCAAUAACCAGUCACAUAACUACGAGAAAAAUGAAUAUGUUUGCUGUAGUUCUCUCCUACUAACACAUUUUAAUUUAUUUGCACAAUAUUGAAUAAAUUAAUGUAUUGCCGUCGAGGACGAAUUUUUUUCUGCUACUUGAAUAAUUUAUCUAGCGGGACGGCAAAAGUAAGGUGGCCUCUAUUCAUCCUAUCGCAAUCUAAAUGGCUGAAAAUGGUGGAAUUCCAACAAUAGAUCUCUCCCCAUUCUUUACAGACGGUGAUGAAACUGGCAAGGUAA